GGAUUUCUUCUCAUCUUAGUGGCGGACGGGUGAGUAACGUGUGGGCAACCUGCCCUAUACUGGGGAAUAAUCACUGGAAACGGUGACUAAUACCGCAUGUCAUCACCGGAGGGCAUCCUCUGGUGAAAAAAAGGAGCAAUUCGGUAUAGGAUGGGCCCGCAUCUGAUUAGCUAGUUGGUGAGAUAACAGCCCACCAAGGCGACGAUCAGUAGCCGACCUGAGAGGGUGAUCGGCCACAUUGGGACUGAGACACGGCCCAGACUCCUACGGGAGGCAGCAGUGGGGGAUAUUGGACAAUGGGGGCAACCCUUAUCCAGCGACGCCGCGUGAGGGAAGAAGGUUUUCGGAUUGUAAACCUCUGUCAGUGGGGACGAUAAUGACGGUACCCACGGAGGAAGCCACGGCUAACUACGUG
RNAcentral lists this ribosomal RNA (415 nucleotides) under uncultured bacterium. RNAcentral describes it as "bacterial SSU rRNA". It matches the Rfam family "Bacterial small subunit ribosomal RNA", at positions 77 to 507 of the family's 1533-position model. The record is from RNAcentral.